ACGAUAUUAUAAUUUUUUUAGUAUAGCCGCCGGCGAUACUCUUAAAAUAUUCUAUUUUGGAGUAUCGCCGCGUGGCUAUACUCUUAAGCUCCCGUAU
This 97-nucleotide microRNA precursor is filed under the name Prunus dulcis (almond). RNAcentral's name for it is "sRNA ncRNA". Lineage: Eukaryota; Viridiplantae; Streptophyta; Magnoliopsida; Rosales; Rosaceae. The record is from RNAcentral.